AGGAACCAGGAGCAGAGAUUCCGGGAAUUCUGAUUUAAAACCAAUAGCAAUGGGGAAGAAGCAGGCAGAGAUGCUGCUUCUGACCUGAAAGUACUGCUUGAAGGUGGACAUCUGCUAUGCAGUGCUGAAGAGGAAGGUCCUCAGCGUUCAGGCUGCUCUCCUUCACAUGUCACCUCCUGAUGCUGGGAGAUGUCUCAGGGCUGAAAAGGAAAGUGAAAGCCCUCUGUCAUGCCCGUUUCCCCUUAGCAAUUCUUGUUCACCUGGAGAGCUUGCACAGAGUGAUGGACUGGGAAGGUAACGUCAUCUCCAGGCAGUGCAGGGAUGGGGAUACCCGUCUGUGCCCCCCCCGUGCUGCUGCAUGACCCUCCUGCUCCCCAUGUGUGGGUCUGGCCCCAUCCCAGCUGCUGGAGGUCUCCUGGGGACAUGGGAUUUGCCCACAAGCACGAGAAGACAUUCAUACAGCUACUGGGAGGGGGGUUGUGAAAAGCCAGCACAUUUUUUUUUUCCUCUAACAAAUGACCUUUGUCGUUCCUUUUAUUUUCAUUUUCAGGCUCUGUCCUUCCAGAGGUCAGGCAGUUUAAGAAUCUUGGCAGGAUGAAAAAAGCAGGAUUCAUCCUCCUAAUUGCUUUAUCUCUCUGACCACCACGUCAUCCUGCUUCGGCCAAGUGAUUGGAUCAUCAGCCCUUUGAAAGUAGAGGUGGCACAAGUGCUUUGCUUUCAUCUCUCUCAGUUCCAAUAGGUUUGUGUGAUGAAGACCCAACCAGGGCCCAACGUGACAUUAUUCAAUCCCCUUUCAGCAGCGGCACCUCUAUUUUCUCACUUGGUACUCAAGAUGCCCAACAGUUCCUCCACUGUCACACGCUGUAUCUCAAGGCCUUCUGGGACUCCGUUUUUGAGCCAAGAGGUUUUGACACCACAAGAGGCGUCACCUCCUGCCUGAGGCCAGAUUUUGACCAUAAAAGGGAAGAAUGGAAUGUUGGGCGACAGCCCCGAUUGGCUGAGCACCUUCUCGUGAUGGUUUCGGGGGAAAUAACCAGGUCGGAGUCAUUUUCCUCUCCCCCCGUCCCGAGUCAAGAAUGAAAACAGUGCGACCAAACCGUGUGGUUCACCAUUGAAACCAAGGCAGGACUUUUUGUGUCUGUGCCUCCUACUGUUCUUGGUUCCACCUGCAUGAAACCAAGCCCUCACUUCUGUGUGUGAGCGGCAGCUCUGUUUCCCAUCCAACAUCUCUGUGGCCGCCACUGGUUGAUGCUAUCUUGGAGGUGAAUGGGAGUGAUUUGGUGGCCACGUUGGCCAGGAACCACAACUGCCUUCUGCCAAACUGACAGCCUUCUGCUGGGAGAACCCAAGAACCUCCUUCUUGUGGUUGUGUAUCCUAUAUCCACAAUCAAAACCUGGUAGAACAAAGUGCCUUUGUGCUUGGACAUCCCUCCCACCCAGCUGCGUUGUGGCUGCCCUCAUCAGAUCACUUCUGUGCUAAAAUAGGACUUCACUCUCGUGAGUCAUUUGCCUAAAAUGUGCCACCAGCACUGACUUACAACCUUUAAUAAAAAUGAUAAAGGAGCUGAGAGGGUUUCCUGGAAAUGUUGUCAGCCUUGAGUUGGGAGCAGA
Meleagris gallopavo (turkey) is the source of this 1611-nucleotide non-coding RNA. Lineage: Eukaryota; Metazoa; Chordata; Aves; Galliformes; Phasianidae. The record is from RefSeq and is a predicted model, not a curated record.